GGGUUCCACACAAUGUAAAUUAGUACUCCAAUAAAACGCUUGUGUUCAUACUGUUGCACCUUGUGUGCCACUUCCUCCCACCUUGCAUCCUCUUGGGGCAGCUACACAUUGAAAUUUUACUAGGAGAGUACCUAGCCUCAAAGAGCUCUUGCAAAGGGGCACAACAAAGAAAGGUAUAACCAUGUCUCGCUCCAAAGGCCCAUUACACAAGAUACAAUGCUCCUGAUGAGGCCAUCUUCCUCUUUUAUAGAUUAUCUAUCAUUAGGAUUUUUGUUAUGCAUGAGUAUCGAGGUGUGAUCUUUGCAUUUAUUUCCUGCUUGCGCCUUCUAAAGCCUUGUUUAGUUGGGGAAAAUUUUUGACUUUGUUUACUGUAGUAUUUCGUUUGUAUUUGGUAAUUAUUGUCCAAUUGUGGACUAAUUAGGUUCAAAAAAUUUGUCUCGCAAAUUACAGACAAAUUGUGCAAUUAGUUAUUUUUUAUCUAUAUUUAAUAUUUCAUGCAUGCGUUUAAAGAUUCGAUGUAACGAGAAUCUUGAAGUUUUUUUAGGACCUAAAUAAUAAUAAGGUAUGCGUGGAAUCUUUUGGUGUGAUCCUUCCAACUGAAUCCUGUACGCCGAAAUGUGCAGAGUAAUUUUCGUCAACCAUAAGUUUCCAAGUUGUAGAAUCCUGGACGUCGGGCAGCAGUUGUACAUUUUGUAGUCCGAUCCAUAGAGCGACGAAUUCUUAGAUUUGUGUGG
RNAcentral lists this long non-coding RNA (734 nucleotides) under Sorghum bicolor (sorghum). RNAcentral describes it as "long non-coding RNA (SBIC_LNC018128)". Lineage: Eukaryota; Viridiplantae; Streptophyta; Magnoliopsida; Poales; Poaceae. The record is from RNAcentral.